ACGCUGGCGGCAGGCUUAACACAUGCAAGUCGAACGGUAACAGGAAUUAGCUUGCUAAUUUGCUGACGAGUGGCGGACGGGUGAGUAAUGCUUGGGAAUCUGGCUUAUGGAGGGGGAUAACUACGGGAAACUGUAGCUAAUACCGCGUAAAAUCUUCGGAUUAAAGGGUGGGACUUUCGAGCCACCUGCCAUAAGAUGAGCCCAAGUGGGAUUAGGUAGUUGGUUAGGUAAAGGCUGACCAAGCCGACGAUCUCUAGCUGGUCUGAGAGGAUGACCAGCCACACUGGAACUGAGACACGGUCCAGACUCCUACGGGAGGCAGCAGUGGGGAAUAUUGCACAAUGGGGGGAACCCUGAUGCAGCCAUGCCGCGUGAAUGAAGAAGGCCUUCGGGUUGUAAAGUUCUUUCGGUGACGAGGAAGGUUGAUAGUUUAAUAGCCUAUCAAAUUGACGUUAAUCACAGAAGAAGCACCGGCUAACUCCGUGCCAGCAGCCGCGGUAAUACGGGGGGUGCGAGCGUUAAUCGGAAUAACUGGGCGUAAAGGGCACGCAGGCGGUGACUUAAGUGAGAUGUGAAAGCCCCGAGCUUAACUUGGGAAUUGCAUUUCAUACUGGGUCGCUAGAGUACUUUAGGGAGGGGUAGAAUUCCACGUGUAGCGGUGAAAUGCGUAGAGAUGUGGAGGAAUACCGAAGGCGAAGGCAGCCCCUUGGGAAUGUACUGACGCUCAUGUGCGAAAGCGUGGGGAGCAAACAGGAUUAGAUACCCUGGUAGUCCACGCUGUAAACGAUGUCGAUUUGGGGAUUGGGCUUUGAGCUUGGUGCCCGUAGCUAACGUGAUAAAUCGACCGCCUGGGGAGUACGGCCGCAAGGUUAAAACUCAAAUGAAUUGACGGGGGCCCGCACAAGCGGUGGAGCAUGU
This 918-nucleotide ribosomal RNA is filed under the name uncultured bacterium. RNAcentral's name for it is "bacterial SSU rRNA". It matches the Rfam family "Bacterial small subunit ribosomal RNA", at positions 33 to 942 of the family's 1533-position model. The record is from RNAcentral.